CGGUCCGCAGCAGCAGACCUCAUUGAUCGAGUCCCUUCUUCCAUCCCCUUGACCUGCUCCCUGUAGGAAGUCAUCCUGCCAACUGAUUCAAAAGGGCUCUUUAGCCAGCUGUUGCCAACCUUAUAGGGAUGAGUCCCCUGUAAGAUUUUGCUUUUCCACUGCCUGGGAUGACUGGCAGUUUGAAGAGGCCCUUGGACCUCCUUGUAGCAUCAGGGACCUUUGGAGACCAUAUCAGUGUAAGCCCUGCUUAGCUCAUCUUAGAGCAAAGAGCCAGCACCCUGAUGUCCCCAGGGUGGCUGGGCAGGAGUGGCAUGGGGCCAAUACCCAGACCCCUUCAGCCACCAGCCCCUGGCCUGUGCCUUCCAACCCAUUAGCCAUUUCUUGUUGUGCCCCUUUCCAAGAUACAGCCUGCAAGUGGCAGCAAGAAGUGGUGAUUAGAGGCAGAUCUGGACUUGGCAACAGAAAUGGUUUCCCAUCACCAUUGUCUGAGUCUGACUUUUGCUGAUGCUGUUUUGUGGAUUUUUAUGGUAGUGAUGGUUGUUGAUGCUGCCAGUUUCCCAAAAAAUAAUCAAGCCUCUGGCCGCAUGUCUGUCGAUGUAGGCAUUCUUGAGUGGUGUUCAGCCACGCGGCCUGGGCAGAAUUGGGCUGUGGAAUUGUCAGGAACCCACUUCCAGGCUUGGAUGUGAUUUUUGCUCUAGAGAGAAGCAAGUGGUGGGGAGGAGGUAGCAUGACGUGUGGCGUGUGGGGCUUCCUUGCUGCCGUCACCUCUCCACUCAUACGGGAAUGAAGCCUUAGCCAGGAGGCCAGGCUGAGCCCUGUGCCACUCACCGAAGCCACACUCUGCAGGCCAGCAGGGGCUUGUUUCAGGUUGUGGGUUUUGGUGUGGUUUGUCAGAGGCUAAUUCUGCAGAGUUGCCAAAACCAGAAGACGUCGUAUGCUUGGGAUGGGGGCCGUGCCACCUGUGGGAAUGCUGCCCGCUCUGCAGAUUGCUGCUAGAGCCAGCAACUUCACUAAGGUGGAUUUUCGUCAGAGGCCUGCAGGGGCCUCCCUUUUCCCAUUGUUCCUGUGCUGCAAACUGUAGGCCCCAGCAAUCGUGACUGACGUUGACUCCUUGACUCCAAGAAACCGAGACCAAAGAAGCUGCUGUUCUUAGCAAGAUGCGCACUGCAUUCCGCAGACGGGAGGAGUCGGAGAGGCAGGGGGCUUGCUUUCAGCCUCACAGACAACAGUUGCACAGCGCCUCAAGUCCCAGAGUGACUCACCCUGUCCAGACCUUUGAGGAUAUCAAAGAAUAAAGUGCCCAAGUCUUUCCUACCUUGGGGGAACCUGGAACUUGGAAAGGCUCCCUGUCCUAGUCUUGGUCUGUUCUGGGCCAGGUCCCAGCUUGAGCUGCCUCUGAGAUUUGGGCUGUGCGGAUCUCUGGAGUGAGCUCUGUUUCGGUUGACCCAGGUCAUGGAAUGGAAACGGUGAGGCCCCAGUGGCUGUUCUGGAAGAAACAGAUCUCCUGGCAAAGGCCCAGGCAUCUCCCUCACUGAAAUCAGGUUCCCUGCUCCUUGGACUCUGCUUUAUCUCACGGUCAGAGAGCACCAUCCCAGGGGUCAGGGCCUCCCCACAGAAGCCCUGCAGUGUGGUGGCAUCAUGGCUGGCUUGAACCAAGCAAAGGAAGGACCCUGAAGCCUUCACGCUAACCCUCCUUGAGCAGCCGCUGUUGGAAGGCCCCCUGGGCCUGGCCCCCCCGGCCACCCAGUCCUCCCAGCUGCCAUGUUUCAAAGACGCCUUUACCUCCUGCCUUUGGAUUGACUGCAUUUGACCAUGGACUCCAGUCUGUGUAGGGAGAGAGCUGAGUAGGAGACCUCCGCUCCGGAUCGAGGUUUGUACAGGGCUCGUUUCCCCACACAUGCCUGUUUCUGAAGAGGCUCCUGUCUUAUUUGAAGGCCGGCCCACACCCAGCUACUUUAACAUCAGGUUUAUGGAAAAUGUCAGGCCUUCCCCACAACUCCCGUGUAACUGGUAUCACUCCCCUACUUGCUGGCUCUCGGAAGCCCAGGGGAGUCCCUGUGCUCCUGAAUUCUUUCCCCAGAGAUGACCAGCAUUUAACCAACCUAAGGGCCCAAAGGCCUUGGAUAGCUGCAUGGAGCUGUGGUCUAGGAGAGGGAGGGGCACCAGAUGCUAGGUCAGGGGAGGGGGCAGGAGUGUCCCUCCCGUCAGUGCCUACCCACCUGUGAGGCAGCCUUCUGAUGGCCUGGCCCACAUUCCCCAGAACCAGGGGAGGCCUGAGGCUUCAGUUUUGCUCUGCUGCAAAAUGAAGGCAGGCCCACAAGCCGACUGCACCUAGGGAGGCUGUUGAGGACAAUUUCAUUCCAUUAAAUUAAAAAAUACUGACUGGCUGGCAGGCAGGUGCCACAUCUGGGAACAGGGACGGGGGAGCUUCACCUUUUUGUCUUGGCUUUUCAUUGGGCUGUAGGGGGGGCAUCCAUUCCCAGGGUGGGGGAGGAAAUACCAAAUGCAUUGUUGUUCUGCUCAAUACAUCUCACUUGUUUCUAAUAAAGAAAGCAGCU
RNAcentral lists this long non-coding RNA (2558 nucleotides) under Macaca fascicularis (crab-eating macaque). Its description in RNAcentral is "lncRNA (ENSMFAG00000049953.1)". The record is from RNAcentral. Lineage: Eukaryota; Metazoa; Chordata; Mammalia; Primates; Cercopithecidae.